This 20161-nucleotide long non-coding RNA is filed under the name Triticum aestivum (bread wheat). Its description in RNAcentral is "long non-coding RNA (TAES_LNC022613)". Lineage: Eukaryota; Viridiplantae; Streptophyta; Magnoliopsida; Poales; Poaceae. The record is from RNAcentral.
UAGAUAACGGCGAAAGUCCAAGUUCUUUUACUAGAACAUGCAAUAAUACUUAUUUGUCCCUCUGGAAUCUCAUCAUCCAUACUUGGGUGAAUUCCAUAACAUGUGGACUGGGCUUGUUGAAAUUCCAACAUAACUCUUAUCUUUGUGCUUUCUGUUGGACCUCAUCAUUUUAAGGGUUGCCAGCUUAUUUCAAUGAAAUUUUGUCUUGUGUUUUAACUUUUGCUCCUUUGUACAAGAGGAUUUCUGCUAUGGCUUGAUUCCUCCAUGUACCUUGUCGUUUGUCAAUGUGCUCAUCCUUGAUAGACACCGAUCUUUAGGCUGGGAGAGAGGAGUUAACCUAACAUGUGACAUGUCUGUAACAACAUUGUGCAUUUCUGAUGACUGAAGCUUUCUUAAAUUCGUGAACUGCAAUGAUGCAUACUAGUACGUCCCAAGAAAAUGGUAUCCAGUAAUUGAGUGCAAUGAUGCAUACUACUUCCUCCUUCCUAAUACAAGUCUUUUUAGAGAUUUCAAUAAGGACUACAUACAGAUGUAUAUAGACAUCUUUUAAAUUGUAGAUUCACUCAUUUUGCUUUUCUAUGUAGUCCACAUUGGAAUCACUAAAAGGACUUAUGUUUAGGAACGGAGGCAGUAGAAUGGAGCGCUGACAUGAACUGAUGCUGUAAGAAUUCCAUCAAUGAUUACAAAGUUCAAUACAAUCCACCCAUAUUCUGAGCUCAACAGAACAAUUACCGCUUGUUUGGGUCGCCUGAUUUCAUUUCAUUUGGUAAGGGUAUUGGCUGAAUCGAGACCCCAAAUCCAAAUUUCAUGUUUGGCUGGCACUACGAUUUAGAGGUGAAAUCCUUGCCAACACCAAAAUGAGGAACAAUAUAACAUUGAACCUCUACUGUUCACACAUACAACAAUGUUUUGCUUUAAACUGAAACUUGCCAGUACAUACUCCCUCCGUUCGGAAAUAACUCCUUGCGUCAGUUAUUUUCAAACGGAGGUAGUAGAAAAUAAAGCAAAAGGAGAACAUUUAACAUAAGACUUUGUAAAAAGUUCAAUCUUUGCAAUGCAACAAAGGUUCACAGCAACAUCAAAUGAUGACAAUUUAGCCAAGGUUACAUUGAAACUGAAUAUUUCCAUUCCUAAUACCACGGAGGAAGAUUUUCAUUGCUUGAGAAUCUUUCUGUCUUCAUUCUUUCCUUCAUUGCCAUACUAUGCCCAAUAUUUGAUGACCUAUUGCCUGUAGCAAGGGUUUCUUUGUUUUCCUGCAAAAUGUGAUUGGAAAAUGUUCUCACAGUGUACAGACUGUAGAUUGUAAGUAAUAAUGGUGACUCUAGCGACUCGUACAUUUCUAAUAUGUACAUAUGAUUGUCAUAUAUUCCUGGGUAGCAUUCAAUAUGCCUAGCCAUGUAGCUUACACAAAGGUGUAAGAAGAAGAUCACACGAAAGAAGAUAAACAAUCAAGAUAUUGAGUAAGAUAACAAGAAAGGUGUAUCAUCACUAUAUUGUACCAGAUUAAAUGAAGAGGACAUAGAAUGAACACCCAACAAAGCACAUAGCAUGAAAAAGCUGGUAUAAUGCACACACAGCUAGAAGGGAAGAAACUGCAGGGACUGUUCGUUAAAUAAAUAAAUACUCACUCGAUUAGUAUACAUACAUCUACUUUUGGAUAAUGCAUUGUAACAUGGGUGGUAGCUAGGAGAAGCAGUAAGAGAGACCAUGCUAAAUAAAUAAGUGUCAUUUCUAUCCCAUUGGUACCAAAGUCACUAAGCCAUGCCUUAAUUAAUGUUAGUACUACUGUUAGUAGUACCAUGUAGAGCUAAUUUUUACACAUUAGUACUUUAUUCGCAAAAAAUGUUAUAAUAGAAAACGAGCAGAACUUUACUUGAGAUAUUACGCGCUUGGCAAUGACUAGCAAUCAAUGUCAAAGAGCCAAAAGACAAGCUUAAUUAACUUCUGGAAUAUAUCUGCGAUGUUCCUAGAGAGGCAAACACAAAAAAAGUGCAGCUGGCUAUGCAUAGAAAUCAACUAGCAGAGAGCCAGAAACAAGCUUGAUACAAAUACUAGAUGUUGAGCACGAUGAAUACCAUUCACAGUAAAGAAAUCUUCUUCUGGUAAUCAAAUCGAUAAAGACACAUUUACAUCAGGCUUGUAGUGGGAGUAUUUUUUUUUGACAAUCCUAGGGCUUUUAUUAUUGAUUAGGGUCAUUGCCAGUGAGAUAUUUUCACAUCUUUAUGUCCAACAAAAUUUCUUAGAAGUUGUGCUUUCUGCUAGAAAUGAUCAAAGAUCUACCUAGAGGGUGGGGGGUGGGGUGGGGUGGGGGGUGAAUAGGUAUAAUUACAAUUUUUAAUUAUUACUUGGGAAUUUUAGGCAAUUAUGAGGAAUAUGAAAGUGAGCCUAAGAAUUGCAAAAGUGAUACUAGUGCUAGCAAUAUACUCAACAAGUAGAAAGGCAAGCAACCACAAUAAGAUAUAGCAAGUAAAACAAAGCACAAGUAACCAUAAGUAAGGAGUUAGGGUUAGGGUUAACCGAAAGCAUGUAUCCCGAUGUUCACUUCCUUGGAGGGAAGAUAGUCACCGUUGAAGGGGCGGGUGUUACCAUGAAGGCACAAUACAUCUCGACGGAUCACCCUAUUCUCCUUGAGAUAUCACCACGAAGGCGAUUCUCAACCACUAGUGGUAGACCUUGAGGCGGCCUCCAAACCUUCAUAAGCUUUUCGGGGGUAAUCACAACAACUGAUUCCUUUCCGAAGAACUCCUACCGCCUAAGAGUCUCCAACCUCAAACAAUAACAAGAACAAUGGGAAAAAGCUAAGACUUGCUCAAAUCAAGAUUUCCUUUGGUCAAGAGAGGGGGAGGAAUGUAUCUAUCACUUGGUGGAAAAUCUCUCAAGAACUCUCAGAAAUCUCUCCGGGAUCUAAGAUUUGGUGAAGGAGGGAGUGAGAGGGAGCACUUGGGUGUUUUAGGGUUGCUUUGAAUGAAGUGGUCAACCAACUCCCGGAAUGGGAGAGGGGUAUAUAUAGUGUAGCUCCGAAUAGAGCCGUUUGAGUGUAAAGUGGUUGUUAAGUACCGAACAUCCGUUGUAUCACUGGACACCUGGUGGCUGGAAGACAUGCACAGCGAUAUGAACAUCGUAGGCAAAGAACAUAGUGGGGGACCGGACAUCCGGUAAAGUACUGGACAUCCAGUGGUGCAUUCAGCUACCGAACAUCUGGUGCAUACUGGACAUCCUGCUCGGAUAACAUAGCUUCUGUUGGGUUCUGGCCGGAUUUCUUGUAUGCUCAUCCAGAGCCAGGGUGAUGGACCAGACAUCCGGUGUGUACCAAACAUCCAGUGUUUGAAAGUCAUGUACAUGAAGAUGCAGGAGGGACCGAACAUCCCGUGGAGUACCGGACAUCUGGUGGAACAUUGAGCCACGGGACAACCGGUGCCAACCAUAAGUCCAGCCCAAAUCACAUAGCCACUGGUGCCCGGGGACCGGAUUUUCGGUGUGUACCGGACAUCCAGUGCUAGGACAAUAGACCUGACAUCCAUUACGACAGUGAUGGCAGUGGAGCACAGGUGGUGCACUAUAGAUUAGGAAGUCCUAUACAUUUUUUCCGUGAAGUAUAGAAGCAGAGUUUCUUGGCUGGAGUAUGGGUGUAGCAUUUGCACUGGAUAUGAGUGGAAUAUUGGGUAAGGAGUGAACGUGAAAUAUGUUAGAAAGUGUGAGCUUGGGCUUAUCUCUUUAAACCCCAUCGAUCCCCUCUUAAUAAUGUGGGAUCCCUAUACUCAAGAACAAACCCAAAAGGCUACGCAUAUAUAUUAGAAAUAAACCCAAGAAUUACAUGUCAUUUUUGGAAAAAACGAGCUGAAAACAAAGAUUUGAUAAUGGUUCAAGGACUGCAAGAAUCUUUGGAAAAAACGAGCUCCCUCCCUCCCUCGUCCGCCGCCGCUCCCUCCCACCACCUCCUCCUCCUUCUUCUGCGCCCUAGGAGCCCCGCCGCCGCCUGCUACUCCUUCACCGCCUCGCCUCUUCCUCCUCCCCGCCUUCCCAUCGCUUAGGUUGGCGGUUAGCGGCGGCUCGAUCCACUCCGUGGUUUCAGAUGGGCCGCCUUCCCCAUCUCUUGUCCGUGUCCGGUGCCGUCACUCGAUCUUGAUCUUGGGAGCAUGCGGGAGAGAGGCGUCGUGUCUAUUGCCAGGACGGGACAUGGGGGUGGAGGCGAGCGAGAGAGCGGAUGUUGCUGAAGAAGCUGGGGAGGCAAGACGAGGGCGGCGUGGCGUUCCGUGGCCGCGGUGGCCAGAGGGGCGGCUCCAUGUCGCGGUGUAUGAGGUGCCUAGAGGAGGAUGCUGCGGCAGGUUAAACUCCUCUCCCGUUGUAGAGCAGUCCGCAGUGCCAUCACCGUCGUCCUUGCCUUCGAGCCAUCCGUGCCGCCGUCGCCGUCGCCUAGAGGACGCCGGUAGGAAGCAGCAGCUCACCGUUUCCUUGGUCCCCGCCGACGCCAAGCGAGAAGAGAAGGUGAGAUCGAAUUUGUCUGAUCUUUCUUUUUCCCUGUCCCUCCCAUGGAUUUUCCCGGAUCUUGGUGAGCUCCUCAACCACCAGAUUUUGCGUGUUCUGUGAAUCCAAUCCUUCCGCCUGCAGGGGGUGCUUUGGGGUUUCUGUAGGGACGAGGAGAGGAUUUGUGAUGCGCAUCGCCGCCCCUCUCUCUUUCUCUCGACUCAAUCUCAUUUUUUCCUUCUAAACAGUCAAAUUGCCAGUCAGUUUAGCUGUACUGAGCGACAAAGAAAAAUGUGCAGGCUUCUCUUUGUAUCCCAUGCACGUGUGCUGUAGUUGUAGCAAGAAAAUUCUUCGGAUUUCCCUGGCAAUCUGUCAGUUUAGCUUCAGGCAUUCCUUUGUAUCAUUCAGACUUAUAGUUAUUUUCUUACUUUCUGUAGGCACGUGUGCUGUAGGUGUAGCAAAUUGGACAAGCUACAUCGCUAAUGCCGGGUGUAUGGAGCUCAGGAAGGCUAUCUGCAACAAGCUUCAGGGUACGUGCACACGGAUGCAUUUCUUAUUUUCAGAAUAUCCAUAUUGCAUAAGUAGUCUAAUUGACUUCCUUGUCGCUCGGUUAUCGAUAUGCAGAGGAUAAUGGUCUAACCUAUAGCCCAGAUCAUGUGCUAGCAACCAAUGGGGCUAAGCAAUGCACUACACACGCUGUUCUUGAUGUUCUCUCAUGUGGUGAUGAGGUAAAGUUAUCAUCUUUGUAUAUCACAAUUUUCUAGGAUAAACACUUUUCAUUCUAGAUUAGAUAAUACCAUGAAAAUAUCAGCACCAAGUGUUUAUCCUGUAGUCCUUUUUGUUGUUCCAUGUUCCUAAAAUUUAGCAAACUGCUUCAUUUUCUUUUAAACUGCAAUUUUUGUUUGGGUCUUCCAUGCUUUGUCAUUAACUCAUGAUGUGGAUGAUGCAGCGCCAUGGAUCAGUCCCUGCUAUAGGAGAGAGAGAAGAUGAGAGGAUGAGAGAGAAGGAAGGAGAGGAGGGAGAAAGAGAGAGGAAAGAGUACCUGGAGGUGCGUCGACCGGCGUCGGCAUGUGCUGGCAAGGUUGGGCGGGACCGGGUGGUUGGCUGCGGCUCCGUGGUUUCAGAUGGGGCACCGUGGGGAGCCAGGGAGGCAGCUUGGCCCAGCCAUGGCGUUGGUGCUGCGGAGAGCCGCCUCGCGCUACUUCAUCGUCGACACUACAGGCUUCGCCGCCGCCUACGCGAUGCCGCCCCAGGGGGAUCAGCAGCAGCCCCCCUCGCUGCAGGGGCCCAGCCAGCAGGUCGGGGCCAAGCUGGGGCCCUGCAUCGAGUGCAGCGCCACCGGCACAAGAAGUGCUCUGGGUGCAAGUGCAUGCAUAUUGGUGCGCCCCCACCCCCCGCCCUCGUCCCCCUCCCUAUUUCUUGGUAUGACAUGGUUGUGGGCGUCCUGAUCUUGCAUUGCCGCUGAGUCCCUGCGGAAUCGUGGCGCCCCCUUUCUGUAAUUCGUUGCUUGAUGCGUGCUAUUGUGCCGGGAUCCUCCACCGUUCUUGGCCCUACCCCCGGUGUCCAUGAAUGUAGAUUGUGAUUUCUGUCGUUUCUUGGAUGCUUUGGGAAAUUGGGUCUUACCUUACCCCUGUUGUCCAUUAUUGCGAAAUUGUGAUUUUGCUCUUGCUUCUUGGAUGCUUGUGUAAUUCGGUGUUUAGGUUCAGUGAUUUUAGUGGUUCUUGAGGAUCCAAGACAUACAUAGUAGAUGGGAACCUCUGUUCUUGUGAGGUUAUUGAGUGGUGAUCAUGCGGUUUGGUGUUCUCAUGAGAUAAGUGCCUUCUUGCGGGCCCCUUGCGUCUUAUUUGUGCGAUUUGGCUGUGUAUGUCUAUAAUAGGUACUUUGCUUUUUAGGAUUAAUGAUUAAGCGGUUCAUGGUGUUGAGCAUAAGGUAGUUGAUGAGCCAGGGAGGCGGCUUGGCCCAGCCAUGGCGCUGGUGCUGCGGACUCCCCGCCGCGUGGCGUCUCACUGCUCGUCCCUUCUGGUCACACCUCCCCAUGUGAGUUCCUCCACCCUAAUUCAGCUCCCCUUGCUAUCUAAUUUCAAUUUUGUUUCGCAUGUGGGUUUGGGUGGCCAGGAGAUUUUGCACCACCAACUAUAGCAACACCUUUUUUUUGCCAGUUAGUGUUACGGUUCCUGCUGACGGUGUAUAUCCCUUGAACAACAAUCUUCCAUCUUCAGCUGCUACACAUCCAACUGCAGUAGCAAAUACCUCCAUCCCCGAUACACUGCGGAUGGUAGCUCUGAAACUAUUGGUUGCUUAAGUAGUUUCUGUCAAGUUGUAUAUUUAGCUGUUGGCUGCCAUUUGUAGUUGCAGUUAGUAUCUUCUUUAUUUCACACCAUGUUUUCUUAUGUCUUGCUUCUAUCUUGCUGGACUUGUGGGAUCUAAGUGAUCUAUAAUUGUGUUUUCUGGUCAUUACAUCAAAAAAUGUAUCCCCACUUUCAAAGAUGAUCCUUGUUUGUUGCAAGGGAAAGAUCUAUUCUUGCACUGCGCUAAGCACAUCACAAGUAGGUAGGUUAGGUUAUUUAUGUGAAGUUUUCUUGCUAUAUAUGUUGUGGAAUCAAGGUGUCUAUUGACCAAAUGAAGAAUGAUAUAUCUAUCUGCAUAUUUUUCUUUUUAGAUGAAUUUGACUAACUAUGCCUACUCUUUCAGCUUAAAGUGUAUUUGAGAACCCAUGCACUUGACCAAAUGGUUCACGCAGUAGCUGCUUCAUUUGGCAUUAGAAUGAUUACCAAAUUUUGCUACGAACUUAUGCUGCUACUAUAACCUUUUUGUAGGUAAAUUUGAAGCCUAAGGUGCCAACAAAGGUAGUUUGUGCUGAACAUCUUGAGUUACAGAACGAGAUACUCACACUGCUUAACAUACAGAGGCAAGUACUUUCCUAAAGGAGCUCCUGAAUGCUUUAGGCUUUGAUGUCUGCUUUAGUCUGAUAUUUCCAUUUGAUCUUCCAAAAGGAGCAACCAUCACAGUGCUGAAAUUAUGUUCCACUUGAUGGUUCUUAAUUGUAUUUCUCAGUUUAGGUUUGGACUUGCACUAUAGGUGGUUGCGAAUCUCAGUCUUUGCGUGUCUGUCUAUGACAUCCUUGCCGUCGAAGGCGGAUUCACCUUUCCAUGAUAGGGCUGCUCGACGUAUAAAGUAAUUAGUGCCAUCAUCUUUGCCAUCCAUUUAUCUUUAUUAAGGAAUGUGAUGUUACUACUUACUAAUUAUGUAUGUUGUUUAGUAUUUGCAGAAGCAUUCUCAACUUUCCUCUGUACUUUCUCUUUUCUCUAUACUUUGUUUGGGUAGUAUUUACCCUGUCCCGAGAAUAGCAGAGAUAGACAUGCCUAUGUGUACAGCUAAGUAAUCAAAAUAGUUGAGAUAGACAUGCCUAUGUCUACAGGAAAACCAGCUUAACAUUCAUAUCUCAACUCCCUAUCCACUCUGACCAGACAUAAAAUUAAGCUUAGGUCAGCAAACUGGAAAAAGGGCAUAUAUGGUUACCGUGUAGAGUAUGUGAGUAAAUACACAUGUUGCAUGGUGCAUGUUUUUUGCUGUGAGUUUCUUUGUAUGCUAGCGGAGCUCGAGUUCAAUAGUUCUUCACAUUACAUAUUUGUUAUUCACCCCCGUACUGCAUUUCUGUAAAAUACAUUGGUUCCAGUCUUGACUAUGGGCUGUUUUGCCAUGCUUACAUCAGAGCUCAAAAGUAGAUGUCAUCAGCAAGUAGGUGAUACAUGUCUAUCUGAUUUAGCAUUUUGGAAUUGCUCACAACAUUUCUUUCGGCAUGUCAAUGAAAAUGGCACCUUCCCAUUCUGAUGUUCAUUAUGUUUCUUGAAGCCCUCACCAUCUUUAUAUUCAUUACAUAUUCUCAAAAGCUUAUUUCUUAAUAAUACCUAAAGUGAAUACCAUGAGCUACCUCUCCAGUUUAUUCUUAUUUGAGUAUUAAGAGCACCUACAUUGCUUUGGUUCUGUAUGACUGAUCAAAUUUACACACACCUCAACCAUAGUAAAAUCUGGAAGACGACGUAAAAGAAUCAAAGAAAAGUAGAGAUGCACAAUAGUUUUUGCUUUUCAGGGAUUGUUCUUGGGUUCAGCUUUCGCCGGCAUGUUGUUAUUAUAGAGUUACCGUAUCUCUUUGAAUCGUCAUAUGUACUCCAAACUCUUAUAGAUUAUGCAACUAGCUAAUGGUUGGAACUUUUACUCAACUUUAUUAUAGGUGGCACAAAGUCAUGUUAGUUGCCAUUUUAUUGCUACAGAUAUGUUCUUGUUCUGAUUGUUUAUGUGAUGAUUAUAUUCAUGUGUAUGUAGCACAACCUCAUGUUUACAUUUGGCUUGAAGUCGGCUGUACUUUUUUUUGCUUUUGUUACAAGAUAUAUCAUCAAUUUCUUGUCUGGACGUACUUUUAUUAGUUUGCUUCUAACUGCAUCUUAAUAUGUACUCAGUAGGCUCUACAGGAUUCGAUGAUGGAUGUGUGAAUGUGAGCAAUCAGGAUAUAAAUUUCUUCCAACAGCAAGACAUGCUGAUUAGAUUCAGGAAUAUGUUCUUGCGUCCCAGCUUUGCAGCUUCACGUUGUAGGACUAAUAUUUGGUACCUGACAUGAGAUUGAGAAAUACCAUGCUUUAAUUAAUUAGUACAUACCUUGUGCAGGGCACAUAAAAUAUAUCUGAUAUCGGUUUUUUGUUAUUUAUAUUUUUAUCUUUUCUACCCUAAUUCAGUAGCACCAUUUCUUGAUGUUAUUUCUCUAUAGGAUUGUUGCUUCCACUAUAGCUUUUCCCCUCUGAAAUGAAUUUGAAUUAGGUCACUUUAGUGUCAAGGUAAAAAUUUCUUUGUUCUCGGGAAGAGCCAAUAUCCUAGGUGAUCGUUAAAUAUUAUUAAUAAUUACCAAUUAAUAAUUAUGUGCUUGACUGUUUGUUGAUGACCAAUAAUUAUGUAUUUCACUUAUAAGUAACUAUCUAAUUUGCAUGUUCCAUUUUAUUUCAGAUGUAACACAUUCUUUGUAUGUAUUCUGAUGGAUUUUAGAUAUGCUCACUUGAUAUCAUUUUUUUCUCUUGACUCUAAAACAUGUAUGUACAAGCUAUUUAAGAGGGACAAGAAGGCGGAAUAGCCUCGCUUAUAUAGUUUCUGACUGCUAACAGUGCCAUCAUCAAUGAGCUUCACUCUAAAGUCUGUUCAUGGGAGGGUUGGGCUUCCUUCUAUGCUAGGGCUGAAAUUGGAGAAUAAACAAGGGGUUGACAUGCUUGUGAAGUUCUAUUAGGUAUGCUUCUCUCUCUCCCCAAAUCUUUCGGUUCCUGAAGCACAAACCCUGUCAGUUUGUCCAUAUGUAGAUUUUUUCCCUUCUUGUUGGUGCACUAUUCUCGGGUUUUUGUGUGUUUCUUUCUUGCGGCCAGCUUGACCAUUUACUCUGGAAGGAGUUAUUCAACUAAAAAAGAGCGAACAAGUUGAGAUUCUUUUGUCUUGUCCAUAUCGUUCCUACAAUGUUGUUUGGGUUGAUUUUCUUGCUUUUUUGUAGUUUGUGGAGAGAGUUAAGUAGUAGGGUAGCCUUUCUAUGGUGGCGAUCGCAUGCUGUGCAGCCGAGUGUAGUUAAUUUGGUGGUUCAUGUUACAAGAAAAAUCAUUCCUCUGUAGGUUUCAGGUUCCUAUUGUUGUGAGGUGCUCCAUGGCCCUUUGCUUGGUUGCUCUGUGGUGAGGCAAUAGAGAUAAUUAGCAGUCUUGUAUACUAACCAAGAGAACAUCCAUUUCAUGAUUUUGGGUAUUGGGUUCUCUUUGCUAAACUAGCUGCAGCUAGAUGAGAGAAGUAGUAAGUAAUAUCAGGUGCAUAAUUUCUAUCAGUCUGUGUAUUCUAAUGACUACCGAUAUCCCCUUGCCUGUAGUGUGGCACUGAAUCAAUAGUCAUUUUUGCACAAUCAUGUGUCAUGUUCCUUUAUGAAUCAUAUAAUAUCAAGAGACAACUUAUGGAACUGUUCAGAUUUUUAUGGCAACCCUAACUUCGCUAGGUAAUAACUUUUUUUGGUCUUUAUCCAACUGGUUUUUAUCAUAUCAAAUUACUGCAGAGCGUACUGAUUUUUUGUCACCUAGCAACGGUGCCUUUCAGUUCAACUAGCAGUUUAAACCUCCGAAGGUUUAAGGUGAACAAUGAGAUAUUUUUGGGUUUGUUUGAACUGUUGUGUCUGUCCACUUGAGUGCCUCCAUAUGUGGUUCUCCUGUUGCAUUAGUUAUAUUAUUAUUUUUGAUCAUCUUGCCCAAAACUAAAGUUUCACUACAUGAAAAAUGACUACUUUAUUUUAUACCAUGUUAUCCUCUUUCUCUUCCCCACAGGACAGCGUCUCCCCGCGUUCUCGAUCUGGCGCCGCCACAUAUCAUGAUUCUGGAUCGGGCGCAGGUCAUCGCCAUAAGAGAGCCUGGCUGGUGUGGUCUUCAUGCUUGGUGUGUAGAAGCACGGGGGAUGAGUAGGACGGGCAUGGUGAAGGAGCAGCUAGGCUGGAGCUCCGGCGUUGCUCGUGUCAUGGUCGAAUGGAGCCGGCCAUCACUAUGGGCUGCUGCUCACCGGUCGUCAUUCCCCAAUCUCAGUUGCUCAUCUUUGGCUUCACCAUCUUCCUCCCCUGAUCAUGCAUCUAUUUUAGAUCAUAUAAUUAUGCUAUAUCAUAUAUGUUGUUUAGUUCAGACUUGUGCAUGUGCAUGCAUUGGCAUUGAUUUAGACAAAGAUAUUGCAUGAUUUGUACAUAGAAGGAGUACGGAUGAUCUAGGAAUAAAUGUUUGAAUAAAGUUAGUAGUGAGAUUUAGAUAGAGGUUACCUGCACUGUUCUGUUUUAUGUAGAUUCUAAGCUGCAAAAUCAUACAUGGUCCUGUUAGUAAUUUGUUUGAGUUCUGAGUUUACGCAUUUUCCCUUCGAAUGUUUGUAUGUGUGAUCACUUGCUUUUAGGUUCCCAGUGGUAUAUCAUGAGAAGUUUUUUACUCUGCACCGGGUGAUCAACUACAUAUUUAGACGAAUACACUAUUCAGGACGAGGAACAUUAAGAUUUCUAAUGUUGUUUUCCUCUUUCAAGAUUGCAGUUUUCAUAAGCCUUAGAUAGCUAAGGUACACAUAGUUUUUAUUUAACAUUUUUUACUGUUCUCUCAUCUCCUAUAUGGUGUCUAAGAAAUACUAAUGUAGACAAUUCAAAUUUUUUAAAUACCUUCCGGCCAAUUAUGUGGGGAAGGUGCAGCAAGCCGACCCCCGCGUUGUAGUAGAGUGGAGCUGGCAAUUUUAUGAUCGGUCUCUAAAUAUUUAUACUUGCACAAUUUGAAUUAGCUUCACAUGGUAUAUAGUUUGAACAUAGGUAUUCCUUAAUUUUUCAUAUAAAAGGUUUAGAAUUAUUACCCUCAGUGCUAAAACUCGAAGUUACUAACAAAUGCAAACGUUUCUGUUACAAAACGUUUAGAAUCAUUACCCUUGAUGCUUGAAUUUGGACCUUGCACCUUACUUGGGUAACAUAGAGCCAAAUGGCACAUUGUUCAAAUACACGUUCAAAACACUUUGAGUUUGACAUGUUCUCUAUCCUUGAUCAAACAUAAAAUUACUAAAAAAGGCAAAUAUUUCUCAACACGAACAUGGUUUCAAAUGGGUCUCUGCGCCAUUUGGCGCACCGGGUCAUCUAGUGUAUAUUAACAAUAGAUAGUAGGUUAGUUACAAAGGCAAAGAAUGACGGUGCCGGUAGAAACAUAAAACCUCUCAAAGUAAUAAUAAUACAGAAAAAGCAACAAGGACGUUUCAUCACUCCUUCAAUAAAAGGGUCAUUGCUAACAAUAACAGCUUGUGUAGAACUCUAGCCGUGUUUGGCCCGUGAGAUGAUUUUGAGAUGGAAAUAAAUCAAAAGAAGGUUAGUAUUGAGCACAAAUACUUGAAAGGAAAAUAACAUGUAGCACAUCAUCGACUUCAAGGUAAAAUUGAAUACAGUGUUACUUUCAAUAGAUACCAAAAUAUCACUUAUCAAUGCUAAAAUUUGAUUAUAAAAUAAGUAACGCUAAUAUAAAAAACAUGUGUCUUAGGAGAACCCAAGAAGGAAGUCUCAACAUAUCAACUCCUAGAACAAGCUAACACAUGCCAUUUUUGUCACUUAGAAAGAUUUGAUAGGGUACAGGGACUACAAGAAUUACAUUCUAUCAACAAAGUAGAUACCCAUUUUUCGGUGAUCUAACCUUGACUAUAUUGUACGAAUACUUUAGCAGUUAUGUGCCUUUGGCAAACAAAAUAUAACUCCAAAUGACAGCAAAAAAUAUAGUCAAAUGUAAGAAACCACUUGAAAUUCAGAAACAAACACGAUUACUAAAGCCAAGUUUUAAAACACCACAAAGGAAACAUUUCUUUGUCGACUAUUGUUAACAACAUGUGGCAGGACUAGGUAUCAAAUAGGAAAUCCAUCUUCAACAUAAAUAGAACGGUAGUAAUCCAUGAUGAAGAACAAACGAUGCUGAAGGUUAACCAAUUAAUAAACCCCUUCAAUAACUGAAAAAGGCAUGUUCCCUAAGACCAGACGGGGAAUAGGAAAUUUAUUCAACACCAAUUCCACACUAGGAAUUCGUGAUGGAGAAUAGUUGUUGUCAAUGUUCCAACUAUUAAAUCAAUUCACAUGUGCUGUCACCGAGAGAAUCGAAGACAGGAGCAACUAAUCAAGCAAGCAUGUACCAAGGGAGAGAAAAUAGUGGUUAGUUGUCCAGGACAGUUGCCCACAUGAAUUAUUCCGGAUAACAAGCAUUGCCAUUAGUCAAGGAUGUAAACUGAAUAUUCAGAGGGAAACUAAAGCUGGAUGUAUUGUAAUGUGCAGACAUCAUAGCUUUGGCUAGACUAGUGAGGUAAUAAGCAUUCUGAUGCAGAGCUAACCACAUUGGACAUCAUAAACUGUAGGUCACCCGAUCCACAAAUCAGUAGUUGUGCAGAGACAAAGAAACAAGAAGACUGCUAACAAUUAAUCGAGAAUGGCAUAUCUAUCAUUCUAUUGGUGUGCAUCAACUUGGAAUAUGAGGCAUGUCCUUUAAGAAAAUUGUUAAUUGUACAUCUGCACGUCAUAACUUUUUUCGAUAAAUGGCGCUUUUAUUAUCUCAAAAUAUAGCAUCAAGCUGAUACAAAGCAUUUGGAGUAUCACCCGGCCUCUGCAUAACUACGAUGCACACAGCCAAACACCAAAAAUCUGAUAAAAAGGAAAGAAAAAAACGACAAUUCGGCAACAGUAGAGUCCUAUAGACCGACACUAUGCCUAUGUCGAAACGGUUGGCAGACCGAUCCGGAGAUUAUGCUGCCAUCCAUGCUGGGUAAAAACCUCCGUAGCCACCUGCUCCAACCACGUACACACCGCUUUGAAUAGCGGUUGGUACUCCGCAUGUUGUAGCAUAGACCACAUAUGGAGCGAGUGGGUACAACGGAAGAUAACCAGCAGAGGAGAAGCAUUUUUGUCAUUAAAAACCAAAUCGUUUCUGCAUAGCCAAAGCGACCAUAGUAAGGCAUACGCUCCCACCUUAUUAGCGUUUUGAACCUAUUUGAAAUACCGUCCAACCAAUGACCAAAAAUAUUGGUAACACUUGUGGGCGGAUACAAAUUUGACGCUAUUUGGGUGACUGACCAUGUAGAACGCGCAAACUUGCAAGUAAAAAGAGGUGUUUGAUUGUUUCAUCAUGAGUACAAAAACAACACUUCUUACUUCCUGGCCAGUUGCGUCGUGCGAGGUUGUAUUUGGUUAGCACAAUACCUCUACGAAGAUAUCACAUGAAUAUUUUAACUUUUAGUGGAAUCUUUGCCUUCCAGAUUUUCUUGUUAUUGCUCACCUGUACCUCAGAAUGCAUGAGGGCACGAUACAUAGAGUCUACCGUGAAAGACCCCAAUGUAAUAAGGUUCCAGCGAAACACAUCACGCCCUUGCGUCAGGUUAAUCAGAUCCAGACGGGAUAAGCGAUUAUGCCAUGACAUAAGUCGGGCGCCAACCAAAUCCUGCCUGAACGAAAUAUUCGGCGGGGAUGAGCUAAGCACCUGCGCAAUAGUACUGUUCUUAUCACGAGCAAUGUUGUACAAAGCUGGAUAUUGUUCUCGGAGACUGGCAUUGCCUAGCCAGAUGUCUUCCUAGAAAUGAAUCUCCGACCCAUCCUUUAUCGUGAAAGACUCAAAGCGAAAGAGUUGUUUCUUUGCCGCCAUUAGGCCAACCCAAAAGUUUGAGUCGCCAGGUUUCCAAUAUGCCUGAGACACCGCCUUUUGGCCUAGAUACUUGUUGCGCAACAUGGUUUGCCAAACAUCAUCCUCAGUAAGAAGUUUGAACAACCAUUUACUUUGUAUGAAGUCCAUCAACCUGGGUGAUGCAAAGAUCUCCUUUGUAUGCAGUCUAGCAACCUGGGUGAUGCAGGCCCCGAGCCCGAGCAUGGUGUCAGUCUUCUUGUAGCCGAGGGGCUACAUGCCACGAUGGUGCGCCUGGCGCCUACACGCACGCGUUCAACGCUUGCGCAUGCCUCCAGAUCAUCAGUGGAGGAUACACCGUCGAGGAAGUGGUCCUAUGCGGUUCUGGAUCCGCACAACCGACGACCGGCAGAUGCUCUACCAAGUCAAGAUGAUUUGGCCUUGGUGGAACUUGUUGUAGGGAGGAAGGAAGAGGACACAAUAGGCGCAGCUCUAUUCGCAUCCUCGUCGUCAUCUCCGCGGGGAGGAAAUUGCACAAAACACCUACUUUUGGUGCUAGUUUUGCGCAGAACACAUACUUUACAAAUUUGUUGUACAAAACACCACAUUAUUAAGGUAAUUUGUUGCAGCUAGGUCUAAUCCACCAUUUGAAUGUGUUGACAUGAUUUCUGACAAGUGAGUCUAGUUUGGAAGUGCAUCGCGUCAAAAAAUAGUUGUCUCAUCAGCAGCCAACUAGAACUGUCAAUAUCUCACAAUUCUUUGUUUCAAUUGAGCUGAAUUUUUCCAAGAAUAUUAGUGAGUGCAUAUAUGAUUUAUUGUAUUUUAAUAUUUUUUGAAAAUGUAAAAUUUAAACAAAAAAUUGAACAAGUUAACUAACAUUGCAAAUAUCUCACAAACUGUUGGUCCAAAUAAGCUAUUUUUCCUAGAAUAUUAUAUUGGAUACAUGUGUGAUUUAUAGAAAUUGUUUUUUUUUGAAAAUUUUGAAUUUUGAGGAAAAAAAAUUGUCUGAGCCAAUGUAAAUUGCGAGUAUCUCAUUAUAAUGUGAUCCAAAUCAGGUAAAAGUUUUCGGAUUCAUUACUGGUUACAUCUAGCUAAUAGCACACCACAAACUUUCAUGUGAAAAACAUAAGAUUGCUAUACAAUUUUGAAAUUGAUUGAGGCGAAGGUGUCCCGUUUUUCGAUGACAUGGUGAUUAUCGUUUUUGGAGGAGUAGACUUUGACGAUCCGACUACGAGAGGUUAUUGAUGUCGCACCUUAGCAACCUGGAGCAUGAUGGAGCAUGGUCAACCUGACCACGAUGGUCUAUUUCCUGCAAGCAAACGAAGAACAAGCAAGAAACUAAGAUUGCAAUCCGGAUAUUGCGAAUAUAAGAUGAAAGCUUUAUUGAUCAAGGUGGGGUUCUGUGACGUCUUGGUCUGGUCGUUGAACACAAAUGAAGUACGCGAAGUUGCAGCUAUGAUGAAUUUUAAUCUAAAUAAAACCCAAAGUCUAAACGUCGCCCUAAGGGCUGUAUAUAUGGAGGAGUAGGGGGAUUUCGUGGCCCCUUGUAGGAGGGGCCCGAAACCAACCCUAACUUUGUUUCCCCAUACAUACAGACUCUAAAAACAACCUAGGAAGUUGUACUUCGGAAUUACAUGGGCCUGGCCCAAAAAUAAGGUGGCGCAGCACCUAGAAUAAGCUAUGGACAAAAUUUAUGAAGGGACAUCUUGUAUAUUUUGUCCAUGCCCUUGUAGGUCAUCACGGAGGCUUCAAAGUGCUCAAAUAAGCACUAAAAACGCCAUUUUGGAUCCUUUCGCACGCGCCUUCAUCUCCAUGCUUGAUCCUGCUCUAGUGUUUAUUCCUCAUGUCCAUGCUAGGACCUUCAUUAGUAAUCAACACAAAUGUAUUCAAUUUAGGCAACAUCAUAUUCUCAUGAACAAAAGAAUUGUCACUAAGAAACGGAAGUACCUAGUAAUUCAAUUCGCGUGCGCGAGCUCUAGUAAUUGGUCUAGUAUGUAUAGCAGCAGGGGUUGUGGGUGUAACAAUGGUAUUGAUGUCCUCAUCAUCCUUCCCUUUUUGAAAUGAAGUCAUCCUCGACGGAAGCUCAUCCUCCUCACCCAAAUAAGGCUUCAAAUCUGCAAUGUUAAAAGUGGGACUAACCCCAAAAUAUGUAGGCAACUCAAGUUUAUAUGCAUUAUCAUUUAUUUUCUCUAACACCUUAAAAGGACCAUCAACACGUGGCAUUAGCUAUGAUUUGUGCAAAUCAGGAAAUCUAUCCUUACGUAAAUGUAACCAAACAAGAUCCCCAGGUGCAAACACAACAUUUUUUCUACACUUAUCUCCAGCAAGUUUAUAUUUAGCAUUCAUACGCUCAAUGUUCUCUUUAGUUAACUCAUGCAUUUUUAAGAUCAAUUCAUCACGUUGUUUAGCAUCAAAAUUAACCUUCUCCAAAGAUGAAAGAGGCAAAUCAAUGGAUGCAUGAGGUAGGAAAUCAUACACAAUUUCAAAAGGGCACAUCUUAGUAGUAGAAUGCAGUGAACGAUUAUAAGCAAAUUCAAUAUGAGGCAAGCAUUCUUCCCACAUUUUCUUGUUAUUCUUCAAAAUAGACCUAAGCAUAGUAGAGAAUGUUCUAUUGACUAAUUCAGUUUGUCCAGUUUGGGGGUGACAUGUAGUACUAAAAAGCAGUUUAGUCCCCAACUUAGCCCAUAAACAUCUCCAAAAGUGGCUAGGAAAUUUAGUAUCACGAUAUGAAAAAAUUGUAUUUGGCACACCAUGCAAGUGAAUAAUUUCAUGAAAGAACAAAUCAGCAACAUUAGUAGCAUCAUCGCUUUUCUGACAUGGUAUAAAGUGUGCAUUUUCGAAAAUCUAUCCACGACAACAAAUAUGCGAAUCCUCCCCUUCUUUGUUCGAGGUAAUCCUAAAACAAAAUCCAUAGAUAUAUCCUCCCAUGGAACAUUAGGUACAAGUAAAGGCAUAUAUAAACCAUGAGGAUUGAGUCGUGACUUAGCUUUUUGACAUGUAGUGGAGCGAGCUACAAAACGCUCAACAUCUCAUCUCAUCUUUGGCCAAACGAAAUGUGUAGCAAAUACAUCCUCCAUCUUCUUCACGCCAAAGUAUCCCAUUAAUCCUCCUCCAUGCGCCUCUUGCAACAACAACAGACAAAAGGAGCUAGCUGGAAUGCAUAGCUUGUUAGCACAGAAUAGAAAUCCAUCAUUAACGACGAAGUUGUUCCAUGUUCUUCCUUCUUUACAAUUCUGCAUUACAUCUCUAAAAUCAGCAUCAUGCACAUAUUGAUCUUCGAUGGUCUCCAAACCAAAUAUUUUAAAGUCAAGUUGUGAAAGCAUAGUAUAGCGACGAGACAAUGCAUCAGCAAUAACAUUUUCUUUACCCUUAUUGUGUUUGACAUAAGGGAAAGUCCCAAUGAAUUCAACCCAUUUAGCAUGUCUAUGAUUUAGUUUAGCUUGACUCUUAAUAUGUUUCAAAGAUUCAUGAUCAGAAUGUAUAACAAAUUCUUUGGGCCAUAAAUAAUGUUGCCAUGUUUCUAAAGUCCGAACAAGAGCAUAUAAUUCUUUAUCAUAAGUAGAAUAAUUCAGACUAGGCCCACUCAAAUUUUCAGAAAAGUAUGCAACAGGUUUGCCAUCUUGUAAUAACACACCUUGAUACGUCCAUUUUGCAUCAUGUUUUCUUACUGUUAUUUAUAAUGUUUUUAUCCAUAAUAAUGAUUUUUGGAGUAAUUCUAAUGCCUUUUCUCUCAUAAUAUGCAAAGAAUACACAAAGAGGGAGAAUUCUGGCACCUGGAAAUCUAUACCUGGAAAAGAUACGUCAGGCUACCUAUUCUGUACAACUCCAAACAAGCUGAAACUUUACAGAGACUUUUUAUGGAAUAUUUGAGAAAUAUUGGAGCAAAUAACUACCAAAGGGGCCCCACCAGGUGGGCACAACCCACCUGGAUGCGCUAGGAAUCCCAGGCGCGCCCUGGUGGGUUGUGCUCACUCAGGCCCACCUCCAGUGCCCAUCUUCUGGUAUAUAGGUCAUUUUAACCUAGAAAAAACAAGGAGAGGACUUUCGGGACGGAGCGCCGCUGUCUUGAGGCGGAACUUGGGCAGGAGCACUUUUUCCUUCCGGCGGAGUGAUUCCUCCGGGGGAACUUCCCUCCCCGAAGGGGGAAAUCAUCUUCAUCAUCAUCACCAACAACUCUUCCAUCUUGGGGAGGAUAAUAUCCAUCAACAUCUUCAACAGCACCAUCUCAUCUCAAACCCUAGUUCAUCUCUUGUGUUCAAUCUUGUUACCGAAAGUAUAGAUUGGUGCUUGUGGGUGACUAGUAGUGUUGAUUACAUCUUGUAGUUGAUUACUAUAUGGUUUAUUUGGUGGAAUAUUAUAUGUUCAGAUCCAUUAUGCUAUUUAAUACCCCUCUGAUCAUGAGCAUGAUUAUCAUUUGUGAGUAGUUACUUUUGUUCUUGAGGUCACGGGAGAAAUCAUGUUGCAAGUAACCAUGUGAACUUGAUAUGUGUUCGAUAUUUUGAUAGUAUGUAUGUUGUGAUUCCCUUAGUGGUGUCAUAUGAACGUCGACACAUGCCACUUCACCAUAUUUGGGCCUAAGGGAAUGAAUUGUGGAGUAACAAUUACAUGAUGGGUUGCAAGAGUGACAGAGGCUUAAACCCUAGUUUAUGCGCUAUUCCGUAAGGGACCAAUUGGAUCCAAAAGUUUAAUGCUAUGGUUAGGAUUUAUUGUUAAUACUUUUCUCGUAGUUGCGGAUGCUUGCGGGAGGGUUAAUCAUAAGUAGGAGGUUUGUUUAAGUAAGAACAUCACCUAAGCACCGGUCCACCCACAUAUCAAAUUAUCAAAGUAGCGAACACAAAUCGAACCAACAUGAUGAAAGUGACUAGAUGAAAUUCCCGUGUACCCUCAAGAACGCUUUGCUUAUCAUAAGAGGCCGUUUUGGCAUGUCCUUUGCCUCAAAAGUAUUGGGUUACCUUGCUGCACUUCUGUUACUACUAUCGUUACUUGCUCGUUACAAAUUACCUUGCUAUCAAACUACUCCGCUACUUACAAUUUCAGCACUUGCAGACAUUACCUUACUGAAAACUACUUGUCAUUUUCUUCUGCUCCUCGUUGGGUUUGACACUCUUACUUAUCGAAAAGAGCUACAAUUGAUCCCCUAUACUUGCGGGUCAUCACACCUCCUAAUCCAAUUCCACUAGCAUCACAUCCAAGCUCGAAAGUCAAGUCUUAUUAAAAUCAGGAAGUUGGAGUAAAGGAGCAUGUGUCAACUAAUCUUUCAAUAUCGUGAAGGCUUCUUCCUAUGCGGUACCCCAAACAGAAGGCACAUCCUUCUUUGUAAGAUCAUUGAGAGGUCUAACAAUGAUGCUGAAAUCUGUCACAAAACGCCUAUAGAAAUCAGCGAGGCCAAGGAAACUCCUCACUUGUGUGGCAGUUUUGGGCUGCGGCCAACUCUCAAUAGCUUCAGUCUUGGCUUUAUCAACUUCAAUUCCCUGUGGAGUAACAACAUAGCCAAGAAAAGACACCCGGUCGGUGCAAAAAGUGCACUUCCCAAGGUUACCAAAAAAAAA